UCAACUAGAAUGCAGAGUCCACAAAGUCAGU
RNAcentral lists this non-coding RNA (31 nucleotides) under Macaca fascicularis (crab-eating macaque). Lineage: Eukaryota; Metazoa; Chordata; Mammalia; Primates; Cercopithecidae. RNAcentral also lists the same sequence under 1 other name. The record is from RNAcentral.